GACGAACGCUGGCGGCGUGCUUAACACAUGCAAGUCGAACGGUAAGGCCCUUCGGGGUACACGAGUGGCGAACGGGUGGAGUAACACGUGGGUGAUCUGCCCUGCACUUCGGGAUAAGCUUGGGAAACAGGGUCUAAUACCGGAUAGGACCACGGUCUGCAUGGAUUGUGGUGGAAAGCUUUUGCGGUGUGGGAUGGGCCCGCGGCCUAUCAGCUUGUUGGUGGGGUGAUGGCCUACCAAGGCGACGACGGGUAGCCGGCCUGAGAGGGUGUCCGGCCACACUGGGACUGAGAUACGGCCCAGACUCCUACGGGAGGCAGCAGUGGGGAAUAUUGCACAAUGGGCGCAAGCCUGAUGCAGCGACGCCGCGU
Molecule: ribosomal RNA, 371 nt
Filed under: uncultured bacterium
Lineage: Bacteria
Description: bacterial SSU rRNA
Rfam family: Bacterial small subunit ribosomal RNA
Source: RNAcentral